This 457-nucleotide ribosomal RNA is filed under the name uncultured bacterium. Its description in RNAcentral is "SSU rRNA". It matches the Rfam family "Bacterial small subunit ribosomal RNA", at positions 26 to 518 of the family's 1533-position model. The record is from RNAcentral.
AGAAUCAACGCUGGCGGCGUGCCUAACACAUGCAAGUCGCACGAGAAAGGGUAGCAAUACCUGAGUACAGUGGCGCACGGGUGAGUAACACGUGAAUAAUCUACCUCCGAGUGGGGAAUAACUGAGAGAAAUCUUAGCUAAUACCGCAUAAUACCCACGGGUCAAAGCAGCAAUGCGCUUGGAGAGGAGUUCGCGGCAGAUUAGUUAGUUGGCGGGGUAAUGGCCCACCAAGACGAUGAUCUGUAUCCGGCCUGAGAGGGCGCACGGACACACUGGAACUGAAACACGGUCCAGACUCCUACGGGAGGCAGCAGUGGGGAAUUUUGCGCAAUGGGGGAAACCCUGACGCAGCAACGCCGCGUGGAGGAUGAAGCCCCUUGGGGUGUAAACUCCUUUCGAUCGGGAAGAUAAUGACGGUACCGAUAUAAGAAGCCCGGCUAACUUCGCGCCAGCGCGC